GGAGUUAGCCGGUGCUUCUUCUGCGAGUAACGUCACAGAUGUAAGGUAUUAACUUACACCCUUUCCUCCUCGCUGAAAGUGCUUUACAACCCGAAGGCCUUCUUCACACACGCGGCAUGGCUGCAUCAGGGUUUCCCCCAUUGUGCAAUAUUCCCCACUGCUGCCUCCCGUAGGAGUCUGGGCCGUGUCUCAGUCCCAGUGUGGCUGAUCAUCCUCUCAGACCAGCUAGGGAUCGUCGCCUAGGUGAGCCUUUACCUCACCUACUAGCUAAUCCCACCUGGGCUUAUCCAUCAGCGCAAGGCCCGAAGGUCCCCUGCUUUCCCCCGUAGGGCGUAUGCGGUAUUAGCAGUCGUUUCCAACUGUUAUCCCCCACAAAUGGGCAAAUUCCCAGGCAUUACUCACCCGUCCGCCGCUCGUCAUCUUCAAAAGCAAGCUUUUGAAAUGUUACCGCUCGACUUGCAUGUGUUAGGCCUGCCGCCAGCGUUCAAUACUGAGCCACGAAAUACGAACCCUACGA
RNAcentral lists this ribosomal RNA (517 nucleotides) under uncultured bacterium. RNAcentral describes it as "partial 16S ribosomal RNA". The record is from RNAcentral.